This is a non-coding RNA of Oreochromis niloticus (Nile tilapia), 487 nucleotides long. NCBI's taxonomy places the organism in Eukaryota, Metazoa, Chordata, Actinopteri, Cichliformes, Cichlidae. The record is from the annotation of a RefSeq genome assembly.
AAACAUGACUUUGAUCUGCGUCCUCAUCUGGACUCUCCUCUGCUGCUGCUUCACAGAGUCCAGAGGACAGAUCACAGUGACUCAGCCUGGAGCAGUGAGCUCUGCUGUGGGAGGAUCUGUGAGGAUCGAGUGUAAAGUCAGUGAGGAUGUUUAUGGCUCUAGCUCGUUAGCCUGGUACCAACAGAAAAAUGGAGAUCCCCCUAAACUGCUCAUUUAUGCUGCUGACUCUCUAGAAUCAGGGAUUCCAGCUCGUUUUACAGGCAGUGGAUCAGACUCUGACUUCACUCUGACCAUCAGUGGAGUCCAGGCUGAAGAUGCAGCAGUUUAUUACUGUCAGAGUGUUCAUGAGAUCAACAGUCAGUAUGUGUUCACACAGUGAAAAACAGUCGUACAAAAACCUCCCUCAGUCAGACUGAACAGAAACUGAACUGACUGCUGCAGCUGGAAGAUACUGCAGAGACUGAUACAGUUCACUGAGGACACACAC